GAUGAACGCUAGCUACAGGCUUAACACAUGCAAGUCGAGGGGCAGCGGUAUCGAAAGCUUGCUUUCGGUAGCCGGCGACCGGCGCACGGGUGAGUAACGCGUAUCGAACCUGCCUCAUACUCGGGAAUAGCCUUGCGAAAGUAAGAUUAAUGCCCGGUGUUUUCAGAGUCCCGCAUGAGGCCUUGAACAAAGAUUUAUCGGUAUGAGAUGGCGAUGCGUCCCAUUAGCUUGUUGGCGGGGUAACGGCCCACCAAGGCAUCGAUGGGUAGGGGUUCUGAGAGGAAGGUCCACCACAUUGGAACUGAGACACGGUCCAAACUCCUACGGGAGGCAGCAGUGAGGAAUAUUGGUCAAUGGGCGGAAGCCUGAACCAGCCAAGUAGCGUGCAGGAAGACGGCCCUCCGGGUUGUAAACUGCUUUUAGUUGGGAAGAAAACGGGGCUCGUGAGCCCCCUUGCAUGUACCAUCAGAAAAAGGACCGGCUAAUUCCGUG
Molecule: ribosomal RNA, 492 nt
Filed under: uncultured bacterium
Lineage: Bacteria
Description: partial 16S ribosomal RNA
Rfam family: Bacterial small subunit ribosomal RNA
Source: RNAcentral